RNAcentral lists this long non-coding RNA (1209 nucleotides) under Monodelphis domestica (gray short-tailed opossum). Its description in RNAcentral is "lncRNA (ENSMODG00000040865.1)". The record is from RNAcentral. Lineage: Eukaryota; Metazoa; Chordata; Mammalia; Didelphimorphia; Didelphidae.
UGCAUAUAUACGUAAAAUGUAAUCUAUAAUUAAUCUAUAAAUGCUAUAGUAGUAGUCUCUCGGGAACCAAGGAUGAUGAUUGUCUUUGUGCGUUUUUGUGCACAAAGACACUUGUGCAUGAAGAUUUAAGUGGAAGAGUCGAUGCACAGAGACAGUCCCACUCUCUCGGCGUUGGAAGCCUGGGUCCAGUGGCACGAAAAGUCGUUACACCUGGAGACUUCCUCAGCUGCAUUGGAUGGCCGUGUUGUCUUUUGUGCUCCAACACGCCCUAAGCACUCCACAGUGCUUUGCUGCGUCGCCAUCUCAGCUGUUGAACCUUCUUAUUGGUUUCUUCUGCCUGUUCCACCGAAACAGUCUUCACAUGCUGGGUGAGAAAAGAAAUGCUUCCUGUUUCCUUCUUGGACUUCUCUCAUUUAGCUGAGAGCUGAGAUCAAAACAGAAGAAUAUGACUGUUAGUCAAGUGGCCUCUUGGCUACUUUCUCUCCCAGGAAAUCAGCAUCCCAAAGCCCUAGGGAGAGGCAUGAUGAUGACAAUCCUCCUGUCCUGUACUCCUUACAUAAUGAAACUGUGACCCACUAGGAGUAAGACUUGGUUUUUGUCACUGCCCUCCCCACUCCCACCCCUCGCUAUGAUGAUUGAUAUUUUCCACAUUUGUUAAUGAAAGUAGUCAUUUAAAUAUUGAGUGAAGAUGACUCUUUCUCUUUAUUUCUCUGAGGAUAGUUCGUCUCAGAGGAUUAACUCUUAGAGGAUAAAGUUCACUCCAUGUCUUGGGGAAUAGGCCCAGCAUCCUUUGAGAUUACCUCAGAAAAUUAGCAUGAAAUGAAACACAUUUAUUUUUGUUGAUAUAUUAUUUUGUUGUUUGUUUCUUACAAACAUACACACAAAACAUUUUCCCCAUAACAAAGACAAACAAGCAAAAUUAACUAAGGUAACAUCUUCUAAAGACCGUGUAGCAUUCUUCAUCCUUAGUCCACCACCGCUAUUACAAGGAGAAGGAAGGUUCUUUCACCACUGGUGGUCUAGAAUCAAGACUGGUAAUUGCACUGAGUCUAAGCUUCUAACUGAUGCCACGAUUAGGAGGAUAGCAAAAAAAUUAGGAAAAAAGAGUUUAUACACAGUUUAGUAUAUUGAGGGCUCAUAUUUAAAAUAUAUAGUGAACUUUGUCAGAUUUUUAAGAAUAAAAACCAUCCCUCAGUUGAUAAAUGGGCA